CUCGAGGCCAGAUCUUUCCGGUUGAUCCCGCCGGAAGCGGCUGCUAUCGGGAUCCGACUAAGCCAUGCGAGUCGAGAGGGUUCGGCCCUCGGCACACGGCUCAGUAACACGCGGAGAACCUGCCCUGAGGUGGGGGAUAACCUCGGGAAACUGAGGAUAAUACCCCAUAGGCCAGAGGUCGCUGGAACCGCGCCCUGGCCGAAAGCUCCGGCGCCUCAGGAUGGCUCUGCGGCCUAUCAGGUCGUAGUGGGGGUAACGGCCCCACUAGCCUACGACGGGUACGGGCAGUGAGAGCUGUAGCCCGGAGAUGGAGUCUGAGACACGACUCCAGGCCCUACGGGGCGCAGCAGGCGCGAAAACUGCGCAAUGCGCUCACGCGCGACGCGGGGAUCCCGAGUGCCGGCGCACAGCGUUGGCUUUUCGUGUGCCUAAACCGCACACGGAAUAAGGGGUGGGUAAGACGGGUGCCAGCCGCCGCGGUAAUACCCGCACCCCGAGUGGACGCCGCUUUUAUUGGGCCUAAAGGGUCCGUAGCCGGUCCUCUAAAUGCCCGGGUAAA
RNAcentral lists this ribosomal RNA (559 nucleotides) under uncultured archaeon. Its description in RNAcentral is "bacterial SSU rRNA". It matches the Rfam family "Archaeal small subunit ribosomal RNA", at positions 1 to 549 of the family's 1478-position model. The record is from RNAcentral.